RNAcentral lists this ribosomal RNA (2702 nucleotides) under Clostridioides difficile. RNAcentral's name for it is "bacterial LSU rRNA". It matches the Rfam family "Bacterial large subunit ribosomal RNA". The record is from RNAcentral. Lineage: Bacteria; Bacillati; Bacillota; Clostridia; Peptostreptococcales; Peptostreptococcaceae.
UGGUCAAGUUAUUAAGGGUGCAGGGCGGAUGCCUUGGCACUAGGAGCCGAUGAAGGACGUGAUAAGCUGCGAUAAGCUUCGGGGAGUUGCACGUAAACUUUGAUCCGAAGAUUUCCGAAUGAGGAAACUCACUUAGAGUAAUGUCUAAGUAUCAUUAAGUGAAUACAUAGCUUAAUGAGGGGAACUCAGGGAACUGAAACAUCUAAGUACCUGAAGGAAGAGAAAGAAAUUCGAUUCCGUAAGUAGCGGCGAGCGAACGCGGAUUAGCCCAAACCAAUAAAGUUUUCUUUAUUGGGGUUGCGGACAUAUCAUAACGAAGAGGUAUCGUAAUUGAAGAGGUUUGGAAAGACCCACCACAGAAGGUAAUAGUCCUGUAUGUUAAACGAGAAGACUUCAGAUAUGAUCCAGAGUACCACGGGACACGUGAAACCCUGUGGGAAGCAGGAGGGACCACCCUCCAAGGCUAAAUACUACCUAGUGACCGAUAGCGUAUAGUACCGUGAGGGAAAGGUGAAAAGAACCCCGGGAGGGGAGUGAAAUAGAACCUGAAACCCUGCACUUACAAGCUGUGGAAGCACAUUUCUUGUGUGACCGCGUACUUUUUGUAGAACGGGCCAACGAGUUACGUUAAGUAGCAAGGUUAAGCACUUAAGGUGCGGAGCCGUAGCGAAAGCGAGUUUUAACUGAGCGUUCAGUUACUUGACGUAGACCCGAAACCGGGCGACCUACCCAUGAGCAGGAUGAAGCGAAAGUAAAAUUUCGUGGAGGUCCGAACCCACGAGCGUUGAAAAGCUCGGGGAUGACUUGUGGGUAGCGGUGAAAUUCCAAUCGAGCCCGGAGAUAGCUGGUUCUCCCCGAAAUAGCUUUAGGGCUAGCCUCAAGGUGAGAGAUACGGAGGUAGAGCACUGAAUGUCCUAGGGGGUAUUGCACCUACCGAAGACUAUCAAACUCCGAAUGCCGUCAUCUUAUACUUGGGAGUCAGACUGUGGGUGAUAAGAUUCAUAGUCGAAAGGGCAACAGCCCAGAUCGUCAGCUAAGGUCCCUAAAUGUAAGUUAAGUGGUAAAGGAUGUGGGAUUGCACAGACAACCAGGAUGUUGGCUUAGAAGCAGCCACUCAUUCAAAGAGUGCGUAAUAGCUCACUGGUCGAGUGAUCCUGCGCCGAAGAUUUCCGGGGCUAAAACUUACUACCGAAGCUACGGCAUCAGUAAUGAUGGGUAGGGGAGCUUCCCAUACGGGUUGAAGCAUGACCGUAAGGACAUGUGGACAGUAUGGGAGUGAGAAUGUUGGCAUGAGUAGCGAGAUGUGGGUGAGAAUCCCACAGGCCGUAAACCCAAGGUUUCCAGGGGAAGGUUCGUCCGCCCUGGGUUAGUCGGGACCUAAGCUGAGGCCGAAAGGCGUAGGUGAUGGACAACAGGUUGAUAUUCCUGUACUACCGAUAACCGUUUGAGAGAAGGGAUGACACAGUAGGAUAAGCUAAGCACACUGUUGGUUAUGUGUGCCCAAGCAUUGAGGCAGUCAAAGCAGGCAAAUCCGCUUUGAUAAUGCUGGGAUGUGAUGGGGAGCGAAAUUUAGUAGCGAAGUAGCUGAUUUCACACUGUCAAGAAAAGUCUCUAUCGAGGUUAAAGGUACCCGUACCGCAAACCGACACAGGUGGGUGAGGAGAGUAUCCUAAGGCCAGCGAGAGAACUGUUGUUAAGGAACUCGGCAAAAUGACCCCGUAACUUAGGGAUAAGGGGUGCCACCAUCCGGUGGCCGCAGAGAAUAGGCCCAAGCGACUGUUUACCAAAAACAUAGGUUUCUGCUAAGUCGCAAGACGAUGUAUAGGAGCUGACGCCUGCCCGGUGCUGGAAGGUUAAGGGGAUCUGUUAGAGCAAUCGAAGCAGUGAACUUAAGCCCCAGUAAACGGCGGCCGUAACUAUAACGGUCCUAAGGUAGCGAAAUUCCUUGUCGGGUAAGUUCCGACCCGCACGAAAGGCGUAACGAUUUGGGCACUGUCUCAACAACAGACUCGGUGAAAUUGUAAUUCCGGUGAAGAUGCCGGAUACCUGCGACAGGACGGAAAGACCCCAUGGAGCUUUACUGUAGCUUGACAUUGGGUCUUGGUACUACAUGUACAGGAUAGGUGGGAGGCUUUGAAACCAGGACGCCAGUUUUGGCGGAGCCAUCCUUGGGAUACCACCCUUGUAGUACUGGGACUCUAACCAUAGGCCAUGAAUCUGGUCUUGGGACACUGUCAGGUGGGCAGUUUGACUGGGGCGGUCGCCUCCCAAAAGGUAACGGAGGCGCUCAAAGGUUCUCUCAGUACGGUCGGAAAUCGUACGUAGAGUGUAAAGGCAAAAGAGAGCUUGAUUGCAAGACAUACAGGUCGAGCAAGGAUGAAAAUCGGACUUAGUGAUCCGGUGGUUCUGCGUGGAAGGGCCAUCGCUCAACGGAUAAAAGCUACCCUGGGGAUAACAGGCUUAUCUCCCCCAAGAGUCCACAUCGACGGGGAGGUUUGGCACCUCGAUGUCGGCUCAUCACAUCCUGGGGCUGUAGUAGGUCCCAAGGGUUGGGCUGUUCGCCCAUUAAAGUGGUACGCGAGCUGGGUUCAGAACGUCGUGAGACAGUUCGGUCCCUAUCCGUCGCAGGCGUAGGAAAUUUGAGAAGACCUGUCCUUAGUACGAGAGGACCGGGAUGGACGUACCUCUGGUGUACCAGUUGU